CACUCACACGGAUACUCGGCGCUAUGUGUGUGUGACUUGCGGAAAAAGGUUCUUGGAUAAGCAGACUUUGGAUGAGCAUGGUGUCACUCAUUUACAGAUCAAACCAUUCCAAUGCCACAUCUGCCUGAAGCAGCUGACUCGGCGCUCGCGUCUCCGAAUGCACCUACGAGCCCAUGAGGAGGAGCUUACUCCUACCUUGGUGCUGGUGUGUGCCGCGUGCCGACGUGCCUUUCGCGGACAGUCGGACGCUCAGGAACAUAUUGCGAAUUCCCCAGAGUGCAUGGAAGGGUUUGUCAAAGAGCUGAAG
Long non-coding RNA from Ostrinia nubilalis (European corn borer), 307 nucleotides. RefSeq lists it as uncharacterized. The transcript is spliced from 3 exons. The record is from RefSeq and is a predicted model, not a curated record. NCBI's taxonomy places the organism in Eukaryota, Metazoa, Arthropoda, Insecta, Lepidoptera, Crambidae.